RNAcentral lists this ribosomal RNA (467 nucleotides) under uncultured bacterium. RNAcentral describes it as "partial 16S ribosomal RNA". It matches the Rfam family "Bacterial small subunit ribosomal RNA", at positions 28 to 507 of the family's 1533-position model. The record is from RNAcentral.
GACGAACGCUGGCGGCGUGCUUAACACAUGCAAGUCGAACGGUGAAGCCCUGCUUUUGUGAGCUGCUGCGAAGGCGAGAGUGUGACUAACGCAAGGUUCACCUGGCCCUGGCUUAACGCUAAGUACAUGGGGCUAGUGCUGGUACCGGAUCGGUGCUCCUGCGGGAUGGUGUGGGUAGGAUAUCUUGGGCGGUGGGGAUGGACUCGCGGCUUAUCAGCUUGUUGGUGGGGUAGUGGCUUACCAAGGCUUUGACGGGUAGCCGGCCUGGGAGGGUGACCGGCCACAUUGGGACUGAGACACGGCCCAGACUCCUACGGGAGGCAGCAGUGGGGAAUAUUGCGCAAUGGGCGGAAGCCUGACGCAGCAACGCCGCGUGCGGGAUGACGGCCUUCGGGUUGUAAACCUCUUUCGGCAGGGACGAAGCGUGAGUGACGGUAAUUGGAAAAGAAGCACCGGCCAACUACGUG